RNAcentral lists this long non-coding RNA (1071 nucleotides) under Oryctolagus cuniculus (rabbit). RNAcentral describes it as "lncRNA (ENSOCUG00000033411.1)". The record is from RNAcentral. Lineage: Eukaryota; Metazoa; Chordata; Mammalia; Lagomorpha; Leporidae.
AGAUUGCGCGCCCUUUUUUCCCCGACUGCCUGUGUUUGUCCUAGGAAGUCAACUGUCUUACCGGUGUAUUUUUUCCCCCUUUUCAAAGAUAUCGUCUUUUCUUUCCCUUUGUGUGCGCUGAGGUUUUCUGUUUGUCUUGGGUUUCUGUUACUUGGCUGCAGUUCGCCCAGGCAUGACUUUCCGCUGCAUCUACCCUUCCUGGGUGCCUAUCUUUUGAGUCUGUGGCUUCAUGUUAUUUUCCAGGUUUGGAAAAUCUUUAGCCGUAUCUCUUCAAACACUGCUUCUGACUCAUUCUCCUCCCACCCCCUUUCUGGGACGCCCACUGCGUUCGUUUGGUACCUUUCCAUCCCAUCCCGUGUGCCUGUCCUGUUGGCUUCUCUACUGCCCACCCUGUUUUCUCUCUGGUCUUCAUUCUUGGCUGUUUUCCGUUGUUUCUCUGCAUACUCUCACUCUUCAGCUGUGUCUACUCUUCCAUCAAAGCCCUCGACUGAGUUCUUAGUUUCAGUUAGUUUAUAUUCUAGAACUUCCACUUUUAAAUAUAUAUUCCGGUUCUCUUUCCUUGAACAUAAUCCAUUACAAUUAUUUGGAAGUCUGUGUCUGAUCGUUCUCAUAUCUGGGUCAGCACGGAUCUGCUUUGAUUGUGACUGUUUUGUCUCGGUUGACUCUUGGGAGGAGGAGGCCCGUGGAAUUGUGCGCAGGCACGUCUGGAUGAAGUCUGCAGAAGCUGCGUGUGACGCUGCCUCCUCCAGGAGGAAGGUGCCCCGCCCCGGGCAGGCAGCACAGGAGUGGAUUGCUGCGUGCAAUCAGGGACCGGGCUCCCGCUGGUUCUUCCCGUUCCUGGGACGCCUCCCCCUGGGGUUCUCAGGUGAACGCGUGAGGUGCUGCUGGGAGCCUCCCCAGCUCGGUGGGCUUGGCAUCAUCUUCCCACCACCCCGUGAGAGUCAACGGCUCUGGUCUGUUCUUAAGCCCCAUUCUAUGAGCUUCUCACCUAGGCAACUUAACCAGCAGCUGCCUCUGGGGGAGACAGUUGAAGGGGGCAGGGAGGGGGGUUGCUCGCUCCUCUGCCCCUAG